CAGGGAUUGCCUUAGUAACGGCGAGUGAAGCGGCAAUAGCUCAGAUUUGAAAUCUGCUUCUUUUAGAAGCCGAGUUGUAAUCUGUAGAGGAUGUUUCGGUGUUGGCUCUGGCCUAAGUUCCUUGGAACAGGACGUCACAGAGGGUGAGAAUCCCGUACGUGGCUGGUCUCCUUCACCAUGUGAAACUCCUUCGACGAGUCGAGUUGUUUGGGAAUGCAGCUCUAAACGGGAGGUAAAUUUCUUCUAAAGCUAAAUACCUGCCAGAGACCGAUAGCGCACAAGUAGAGUGAUCGAAAGAUGAAAAGCACUUUGGAAAGAGAGUUAAACAGCACGUGAAAUUGUUGAAAGGGAAGCGCUUGCAAUCAGACUUGUUUAUAUCGGCUUAUCCAAGCUUCUGGCUUGGUGCACUCCUUUAUAUACAGGCCAGCAUCAGUUCGGGCGGUUGGAUAAAGGCCCUAGGAAUGUAGCUCGCUCCGGUGAGUGUUAUAGCCUAGGGUGUAAUGCAGCCUGCCUGGACUGAGGUCCGCGCUUCGGCUAGGAUGCUGGCGUAAUGGUUGUAAGCGGCCCGUCUUGAAACACGGACCAAGGAGUCUAACAUCUAUGC
RNAcentral lists this ribosomal RNA (604 nucleotides) under Pseudorobillarda phragmitis. Its description in RNAcentral is "LSU rRNA". It matches the Rfam family "Eukaryotic large subunit ribosomal RNA", at positions 69 to 687 of the family's 3401-position model. The record is from RNAcentral. Lineage: Eukaryota; Fungi; Ascomycota; Dothideomycetes; Pleosporales.